UUCUCACUCACUGCCCUGGCAAAUAGUGAACUGUCAUCAUUGUGUUUCCUGGUUAUCCCUUGGACAAUACCAACCUCAGCAUCCCAGCUUUGGAUUCUUGGGGUGCCUUUGGUGAUCUCACUGUCCCAUGCUCUGUUUCAGCUCCUGGAGUUUCAACCCCAUCAGAAGCCACUGCCAAUUUGGACGCUGCUUCCCAGCCUCUUGUGGCUCCUCCAGCAGCAAGAUUUGGUGGCAAAACCACCAGGAAUGAUUUAAUAAAAUUUGCCUGUGGAGCCACAGAACCAGUUUUGAACUGAGGAGG
Non-coding RNA from Cyanistes caeruleus (blue tit), 301 nucleotides. Lineage: Eukaryota; Metazoa; Chordata; Aves; Passeriformes; Paridae. The record is from RefSeq and is a predicted model, not a curated record.